RNAcentral lists this ribosomal RNA (660 nucleotides) under uncultured bacterium. RNAcentral's name for it is "bacterial SSU rRNA". It matches the Rfam family "Bacterial small subunit ribosomal RNA", at positions 94 to 788 of the family's 1533-position model. The record is from RNAcentral.
AGUGGCGGACGGGUGAGUAACGCGUGAGAAUCUGCCUUGGGGUCGGGGACAACCACUGGAAACGGUGGCUAAUACCGGAUAAGCCGAUUGGUGAAAGAUUUAUUGCCCGAAGAGGAGCUCGCGUCUGAUUAGCUAGUUGGUGAGGUAAGAGCUCACCAAGGCAGCGAUCAGUAGCUGGUCUGAGAGGACGAUCAGCCACACUGGGACUGAGACACGGCCCAGACUCCUACGGGAGGCAGCAGUGGGGAAUUUUCCGCAAUGGGCGAAAGCCUGACGGAGCAAGACCGCGUGAGGGAGGAAGGCUCUUGGGUUGUAAACCUCUUUUCUCAGGGAAGAAGCUCUGACGGUACCUGAGGAAUCAGCCUCGGCUAACUCCGUGCCAGCAGCCGCGGUAAUACGGAGGAGGCAAGCGUUAUCCGGAAUUAUUGGGCGUAAAGCGUCCGCAGGUGGCGAUUCAAGUCUGCUGUCAAAGCACGGGGCUUAACUCCGUAAAGGCAGUGGAAACUGAAUAGCUAGAGUGCCGUAGGGGUAGAGGGAAUUCCCGGUGUACCGGUGAAAUGCGUAGAGAUCGGGAAGAACAUCGGUGGCGAAAGCGCUCUACUGGACGGCAACUGACACUCAGGGACGAAAGCUAGGGGAGCGAAUGGGAUUAGAUACCCC